RNAcentral lists this long non-coding RNA (2530 nucleotides) under Olea europaea subsp. europaea. The record is from RNAcentral. Lineage: Eukaryota; Viridiplantae; Streptophyta; Magnoliopsida; Lamiales; Oleaceae.
UUCUCACUCUCUCCACCAUCGCUCACUCUCCCUGCCAACGUUCUCACUCUCACUCCCACUCCCAAUUUCUUCCCCCUCUAUCUCGCUUUGCAAUCUGUGUGGCCACCAGAAUCCCUCUCUCAAAUUCUAUCCACCCAACUGAAGCAGGGAAGCCCUAAUCCUGUCGCAAACUCUUUCCGAUCAAGUCGCCCACGCCGAUUAUAAAAUGUACACAUUUGUUGAUAUGUAUAAUUUCUAUUGAUAUGUUUUGUUUGUGUGUCCGUAUAUGGCCGGCUUUGUGACUGUUUUCAUCUAUUUUGGAGAAUUUUACUGGAUAUUUACCUUCUUAAUGUGUCUUAUAUGUGAAUAGUUGUAAGAAUCUUAAUUUCUCACAAAUUAUAUGUUCUCACAAAUGGCUACCAACCUCCAUGGAUUUUGUCAUAUUCUAUUUGUUUUUAUUAACUUUGUAAGAUCAAAAGGAUACAAAAAAUUAUUUUGUGCACAGGUCACUGUUUAGGCAAUCGAGAACAAGAAAAAAUUUAAUGUCAAGAUGUGGGGAUUGUGAAAAAUUGAUGAAAAAGUUAAAAGUCAUUACAGUCUUCUGCCUUCAUAUGCAUUGUAAAUGUUUUAGCCUGUCAAUAGCCAUUUUCUGCGAGAUUAGCUUAAGCUGGACUAUAGAUUGACAUUCUCAGUUGUUCAGUGUUGAUUCUUCCUCAGUUACUUGAUGUGUGUGUCCAGCAAGUCUUCCUCAAUUACUUGUAUUGCCGAAAAAUGCAUAAGGGUAUUUUUUUUUUUUAGCCUACUAUAAUAUCUCAUCAUUGAUGAUAUUACUUAGGCUAUUCAUAUUAAUAAUUUCACAAAAUUGGUCCAUAGACUGAUGAUGCUUGUACUUAAAGAGAACAUGAAAACUCACAGCCAAUAUGUUAUCAAUUUCAUUUUGUAUCCUCCAGUUCAAGCAAUCAAUUAGAACAUGAAAACACACAGCCAAUAUGUUAUCAAUAGGUUUAAUCUCAAAGAUCUUAUUGCAGGUAUAAAUUUCAUAUUUUCUUAUUUGUGAUUUCAGAUCUUCAAUUUCUAGACUUUGUUUGAGAAAUCACAUUUUCUUGUCUGUUGAAUUCUAUGUAUGUACAGGUGAAUUAAAUAUAUGGCAGCGGUUUCAGUUCAUCAGCUCGCUCAGUGCAUUACUUGCCAUGCUUGGAGUCCAGACCAUUCUAGUACGUCUUUAAUUCUGAAAAACCCCUCUUUUGAAUUCACAGUUUAUGAAUUUGAUUUGAUUUUAUGAUAUACAAAUCAAUUAAUGAUAAUUCGUUUAUGUUCAAAUCGUAGUGAUAGCAUUAUGCCCAAAUAACAACGAAGUGCAUAUAUAUAGAUUAUCCGAAGACGACAAAUGGGAGAAGAUCCACGUUCUUCAGAAGGUAACUUGAAAUUGAGUUUUUAAUAUCUUUGCUUGUACAGUUGUACGCAAUUGUGAUUUCCCUAUAUGGGCUUCAAUUUUAACAGUUUUAUGGCGAUGCAUCAGUCAGUAAUCAGAACUUUAGAAAAUCAAUAAUCUUUCUAUUUCGAUUCACCAGGAGCAGUUUUGAAAAUAUAUAGAGCUUGAUGAUGGUGUAUUUAGAUUUUUAGCAUGUAAGAUAUAUAUCUUGUCGCCUUGAUGACACUAGAGAGAAUGGGAAGAAGUGGGCUUAUCAGAGGAUAAAUAUAUACAUAGUAUUUUGAUUAAAUGGGGGCAAUAGUAAAAUGUGAUAAAGAAGAUGCUUUGCAAAUUAUUUUGUUUUGUCUUUUUUGUGUAUGUGCGCUAUUUUUUGAAUUAGUAACAAUUCAUGAUGCUAGCCAUGAUGUGAAAUUUAUCAGAAAGAAUUUUGACUUUCAUUUUAUGUUCUAGUGUUUUCGUAGUAGAUGUUAUAUUGAACUUAGUAAUAUUUGAGCGAGUUGUCUUACUUGUCUUUAGUGAGAAAGCUUUUCUGAUUAUCGCUUUGUUUCUUUCUUUUCUUUCCCUUGUGACAUCAUGACCAAAUUGUUUUUGGAGUAGAUUGCUUGAAGUAUGAUUGGUAAAAAGAAUACAUGAAAUCCAUCAGAACUAUGAUGGAAAAAAGUCAGCUUUCUCAUAAAACUUUUUUUUUUUGAGUAUUUUUUCGAUCUUUGGAUCUGGGAAGCACUAAUAUGUUGCUAAUUGUCAUUGCAGCUGAUGAACCACUAAAGACGACUUUCCAGGUUCGGCAUCGUUGCUGAUCUGUUUUGUACAAAUUGAUUUUCUUGAAGUUAAAUUGAUUUGGGCUCUGCUUACUUAUUUUGUUUGUUAAUUCAUUUGUUUAGUGUCUAAAUUUCGGGAAUUUGGAUAUUGGGAUAGUCAAUGUCAAGUAAAAGAAAUUACCUUUUAACUCAGAUUUGAGUUUCUUGGAGAAUGUUACAAAAAAACUCAUAAAUUAUUUCUUGUUUAGACAGGUCGAAUAUUAACUGAUGUACAAAUUUGGACAUGGUGUGUGUUGGGAGGGGGGUAUACUUGAGUUUCUGAGAGAUUCAAAGUUGGAGUUCUGAUGCAAAUGCGAUCUUC